RNAcentral lists this ribosomal RNA (253 nucleotides) under uncultured bacterium. RNAcentral describes it as "partial 16S ribosomal RNA". It matches the Rfam family "Bacterial small subunit ribosomal RNA", at positions 524 to 776 of the family's 1533-position model. The record is from RNAcentral.
UACGUAGGGUGCGAGCGUUGUCCGGAAUUAUUGGGCGUAAAGCGCUUGUAGGCGGUCUGUCGCGUCGGGAGUGAAAACUCGGGGCUUAACUCCGAGCCUGCUUCUGAUACGGGCAGACUAGAGGUAUGCAGGGGAGAAUGGAAUUCCUGGUGUAGCGGUGAAAUGCGCAGAUAUCAGGAGGAACACCGGUGGCGAAAGCGGUUCUCUGGGCAUGACCUGACGCUGAGGAGCGAAAGUGUGGGGAGCGAACAGG